RNAcentral lists this ribosomal RNA (973 nucleotides) under bacterium S_D75_81. RNAcentral describes it as "bacterial SSU rRNA". It matches the Rfam family "Bacterial small subunit ribosomal RNA", at positions 78 to 1048 of the family's 1533-position model. The record is from RNAcentral.
GAUAACGGCGUCGAGCGGCGGACGGGUGAGUAAUGCCUAGGAAAUUGCCCUGAUGUGGGGGAUAACCAUUGGAAACGAUGGCUAAUACCGCAUAAUGCCUACGGGCCAAAGAGGGGGACCUUCGGGCCUCUCGCGUCAGGAUAUGCCUAGGUGGGAUUAGCUAGUUGGUGAGGUAAUGGCUCACCAAGGCGACGAUCCCUAGCUGGUCUGAGAGGAUGAUCAGCCACACUGGAACUGAGACACGGUCCAGACUCCUACGGGAGGCAGCAGUGGGGAAUAUUGCACAAUGGGCGCAAGCCUGAUGCAGCCAUGCCGCGUGUGUGAAGAAGGCCUUCGGGUUGUAAAGCACUUUCAGUCGUGAGGAAGGUGGUGUAGUUAAUAGCUGCAUUAUUUGACGUUAGCGACAGAAGAAGCACCGGCUAACUCCGUGCCAGCAGCCGCGGUAAUACGGAGGGUGCGAGCGUUAAUCGGAAUUACUGGGCGUAAAGCGCAUGCAGGUGGUUUGUUAAGUCAGAUGUGAAAGCCCGGGGCUCAACCUCGGAAUAGCAUUUGAAACUGGCAGACUAGAGUACUGUAGAGGGGGGUAGAAUUUCAGGUGUAGCGGUGAAAUGCGUAGAGAUCUGAAGGAAUACCGGUGGCGAAGGCGGCCCCCUGGACAGAUACUGACACUCAGAUGCGAAAGCGUGGGGAGCAAACAGGAUUAGAUACCCUGGUAGUCCACGCCGUAAACGAUGUCUACUUGGAGGUUGUGGCCUUGAGCCGUGGCUUUCGGAGCUAACGCGUUAAGUAGACCGCCUGGGGAGUACGGUCGCAAGAUUAAAACUCAAAUGAAUUGACGGGGGCCCGCACAAGCGGUGGAGCAUGUGGUUUAAUUCGAUGCAACGCGAAGAACCUUACCUACUCUUGACAUCCAGAGAAUUUUCCAGAGAUGGAUUUGGUGCCUUCGGGGAACUCUGAGACAGGUGCUGCAUGG